GGGGGGGGGGGGGGGGGGGCGUGAGGCAGGCAGGUCGAGCGGACAGACGAGGAGCUUGCUCCUCUGACGUUAGCGGCGGGCGGGUGAGUAACACGUGGAUAACCUACCUAUAAGACUGGGAUAACUUCGGGAAACCGGAGCUAAUACCGGAUAAUAUAUUGAACCGCAUGGUUCAAUAGUGAAAGACGGUUUUGCUGUCACUUAUAGAUGGAUCCGCGCCGCAUUAGCUAGUUGGUAAGGUAACGGCUUACCAAGGCAACGAUGCGUAGCCGACCUGAGAGGGUGAUCGGCCACACUGGAACUGAGACACGGUCCAGACUCCUACGGGAGGCAGCAGUAGGGAAUCUUCCGCAAUGGGCGAAAGCCUGACGGAGCAACGCCGCGUGAGUGAUGAAGGUCUUCGGAUCGUAAAACUCUGUUAUUAGGGAAGAACAGAUGUGUAAGUAACUAUGCACGUCUUGACGGUACCUAAUCAGAAAGCCACGGCUAACUACGUG
This 497-nucleotide ribosomal RNA is filed under the name uncultured bacterium. RNAcentral describes it as "partial 16S ribosomal RNA". It matches the Rfam family "Bacterial small subunit ribosomal RNA", at positions 27 to 507 of the family's 1533-position model. The record is from RNAcentral.